CCUACGGGAGGCUGCAGUGGGGAAUAUUGGACAAUGGGCGAAAGCCUGAUCCAGCCAUGCCGCGUGUGUGAAGAAGGCCUUCGGGUUGUAAAGCACUUUCAGUGGGGAAGAAAGCCUUGGGGCUAAUACCCUCGAGGAAGGACAUCACCCACAGAAGAAGCACCGACUAACUCCGUGCCAGCAGCCGCGGUAAUACGGAGGGUGCGAGCGUUAAUCGGAAUUACUGGGCGUAAAGCGCGCGUAGGCGGUCUGAUAAGCCGGUUGUGAAAGCCCCGGGCUCAACCUGGGAACGGCAUCCGGAACUGUCAGGCUAGAGUGCAGGAGAGGAAGGUAGAAUUCCCGGUGUAGCGGUGAAAUGCGUAGAGAUCGGGAGGAAUACCAGUGGCGAAGGCGGCCUUCUGGACUGACACUGACGCUGAGGUGCGAAAGCGUGGGUAGCAAACAGGAUUAGAUACCCGGGUAGUC
This 465-nucleotide ribosomal RNA is filed under the name Vreelandella stevensii. RNAcentral's name for it is "partial 16S ribosomal RNA". It matches the Rfam family "Bacterial small subunit ribosomal RNA", at positions 338 to 795 of the family's 1533-position model. Lineage: Bacteria; Pseudomonadati; Pseudomonadota; Gammaproteobacteria; Oceanospirillales; Halomonadaceae. The record is from RNAcentral.